CCUACGGGAGGCAGCAGUAAGGAAUAUUGCGCAAUGGACGAAAGUCUGACGCAGCAACGCCGCGUGCGGGAAGAAGGGCUUCGGCUCGUAAACCGCUUUUCUGCGGGAAGAGCAAGGACGGUACCGCAGGAAUAAGUCUCGGCUAACUACGUGCCAGCAGCCGCGGUAAAACGUAGGAGGCAAACGUUAUCCGGAUUUACUGGGCGUAAAGCGCGUGCAGGUGGCCUGUUAAGUCGUGCGUGAAAGCUCCCUGGCUCAACCGGGAGAGGUCGUGCGAUACUGACGGGCUGGAGACAGAGAGAGGCAAGUGGAAUUCCGGGUGUAGUGGUGAAAUGCGUAGAUAUCCGGAGGAACACCAGUGGCGAAGGCGGCUUGCUGGCUCUGUUCUGACACUCAGACGCGAAAGCAUGGGGAGCGAACGGGAUUAGAUACCCCGGUA
Molecule: ribosomal RNA, 439 nt
Filed under: uncultured Bellilinea sp.
Lineage: Bacteria; Bacillati; Chloroflexota; Anaerolineae; Anaerolineales; Anaerolineaceae
Description: bacterial SSU rRNA
Rfam family: Bacterial small subunit ribosomal RNA
Source: RNAcentral